ACACUAAUGAAAUCCAAAACCUUUUGGAUCAACCCAACCUUAGCGAACCGUUCGUAUUUUCCCUUUGCCCAAUUUUACCAAACGCAAAAACUCUGAUGUAAAGUGUCUGAUUCUUAUUCUCGUUUUCGGUUGUAAUGACCGAGCCCGCGGGAAUCAAAAUCUAACGCAAUA
RNAcentral lists this unclassified non-coding RNA (171 nucleotides) under soil metagenome. RNAcentral describes it as "partial internal transcribed spacer 1". The record is from RNAcentral.